Molecule: ribosomal RNA, 321 nt
Filed under: uncultured soil bacterium
Lineage: Bacteria
Description: bacterial SSU rRNA
Rfam family: Bacterial small subunit ribosomal RNA
Source: RNAcentral
AGGACGAACGCUGGCGGCGUGCUUAACACAUGCAAGUCGAGCGGAAAGGCCUUUCGGGGUACUCGAGCGGCGAACGGGUGAGUAACACGUGAGUAAUCUGCCCAUCGCUUCAGGAUAGCCAUCGGAAACGGUGAUUAAUACUGGAUAUGACAUUCCUUCGCAUGUUGGGGUGUGGAAAGUUUUUCGGCGGUGGAUGUGCUCGCGGCCUAUCAGCUUGUUGGUGGGGUAAUGGCCCUACCAAGGCUUUGGACGGGUAGCCGGCCUGAGAGGGUGACCCGGCCACACUGGGACUGAGACACCGGCCCAGACUCCGUACGGGGA